This is a long non-coding RNA of Homo sapiens (human), 2434 nucleotides long. The record is from Ensembl. NCBI's taxonomy places the organism in Eukaryota, Metazoa, Chordata, Mammalia, Primates, Hominidae.
GCAAAGUGCGCAGCCACAGGCGGCUGGUGCAGACUUGGAGUGUGGGGGAGCAGCGCUUUAGCUCGAGAGCAUUUCUCAGCAGUCCCCGUGGUGUCUGGGAAGCCAGGGCUCUGUUUUGAGGAGUGUCGUCAGAGCAUCAACACCAAAGUGCUUAAUUAAAUGGCAGCCUUGACCUGAGGGGGAGGAGGGGCUGAACAUCCGCCUCCGACUGCAUUUCACAAGCAAAAGAACACGGUGAGUGUGUUUCCAUGGUAACCGCUCUCGGGUUCCCAUUUCCACAUUGGUCAGCCCGGACUUGGAUCCAAACUACCCAUCCCUGGCCCAAGCCUCCAUGGAGGUAAGUUACCAGCCCUGCUUUGGGCCAACGCAGUUUUUGGGGACCUCAACCAUGUGUUCAGCCCAUGGCCAAGGCUUCGGGCUGAGCCAGCUCUCCCAGCCUCUCUCUCUUCUCAGUGUCGCCCCCUCCCACGGCUCUGGCUGGCUCCUCUGCGGAGCUCCAUGGCUUUUCCAGCGUCUGCCCUCUCUGCUGGCUGCCAAGUGCCUCCACAUGCCGGCCAUGCUCUGCGCACCUCCAACCCUCCACAUCCACCCUUCCCCUCUUUCAGACCUCCCCAGGUCUACCUUGGGCAACACCCUUUGCCCCCGGAGGGUCACAGAUUCUUGUUGAAGAACCACAGGCAUUGUCCCUGUGUCCCAAGUACCAGCCCAGGGCCUGGCACAAGAUAGAUGUACAAUAAGUAAGUUACACCCACAACCCCAAGGACACUGGGAACCUUCCAGAACCACAGCCUGAUGUCAUUUAAAUGAUCGUGGGGGAGCGGGGUAAAGAGGGACGUGGUUUGCUAGGUGACUGCUGCGUGCUUAUCCGACAAUGGUUUGGUCAACAAGAUUGCUGACAGGCCUGUUUUUGAAAAUCCGAGUCACGUUAUGCUUACAAAUGUUUGCUGCUAGAGAUCUGGCACGACAGUGACGGGUCAGCUGAGUCGGAGACGGAAAACCUGUUGGUCUGCGCACCGUUUUUGCAGCUGCCCGGCAGACUGGAGGCCUCUCCCCAACCCUGCUCACCCUGAAGGAGGUUCUCGGUCCCUUUUGACCUCACACUGGGCAGUGGAAGGGGAAUCGCUAGUUCUUCAUCCCUGGUUUAGUUACUUUCCCUCUUCUGAACAAAUUGGGUCCACAAACCCCAGUGGCAGUCACAGCCCCACAUCAGCAGUGGGGAGCCCUAGGCUCCCUCGUCUAUGUCGGGCUAUUGUCACUCCUGUACGCGGGAACACUGGCAUAUCUACUAAAGGGCACAGAGAAACGCUGUCCUGUAUAUAUUAGUGUGAUAUGUGUGUGCGUAUAUAUUUGUGUAUGUGUAUAUAUACAUAUAUUUGUGUGUAUAAUAUGUGUCUAUAUGUGUACAGGUGUGUUUGUAUAUGUGUGUAUAUACAUACAUUUGUGAGUACAGGUGUAUAUAUGUGUGUAUAUAUAUUCAUGUAUUUGUGUAUGUGUGUUAUAUAUACAUGUAUGUGUAUGUGUGUGUUAUAUAUAUACAUGUAUGUGUAUGUGUAUGUGUGUUAUAUAUACAUGUAUGUGUAUAUGUGUGUGUGUAUGCACUAAGACGGCAAAACUGCCCAGAAGAAGGUUGGUACCUGGGCUUUCCAUCACCCUCACUGUGCCACUUGGUCCCCAACAGGGCCAAUGGUCCAUCUCUUCAAACUGAAGCUGAGAGUCCAGGUCUACGCAGAGGAGACAGGGAGACUGGGCAACCCCAGUGGGGGACGGGGGACCCAGGACUUCACCCAAACACAGGUACCAGAGACAGAUGCCAUGAGCUCCUUCUGCUGGAGCCCUCAGCACAGGGGAGUGGUCUAUACCCUUAACCUUCUCUGCAAUGUCCAGGGUGCAAGUUCAAAUUCCAGAAUCCUUUAGAAACUUACCCCCACAUGUACUAGCCUUGUGACCCAGCCCAGAGUCCUGAAUGUCUCUAAGCCUCAGUUUCCUCAUCCACAAAAUGGGUCAAAUACUUACCUCAUAAAGUGGUUGGGAGGAUUACAUGAAAAAGAAAUGAGAUCUGAAGGGUUGGCUGAUGGGAAUCAUUGCUGAUUUUUGACCCCCAACACCUCUCCAGUGAAACUGCCCUCAGGGGUCCACAGGGGCCUCCUAAUUGCCAAAGCCAACAGCAUCUUCUCCAUGCCCACUGGUGGCGUUUCACGCCAUUAUCAAUUCUGCCCUCCUUGAACCUCUCCCUUCCCACGGCACCCAGGGCAUGGUGCCAUCUUGGUUCUCAGAGCACUGAUCCCGCCUUCUACUUUCUCCCCGGCUCUUCCACCCCCUCUGUCUCCACACACACACUCCCCAGGGUUCCACCUCAUCCUCUCCUUUCCCCUGACACUCUCUCCCUGGGAGAUCUCAGCUACCACCACAGAACACUGACGCACCAGCCCCUGCC